GAUGUACGCUGGCGGCGUGCCUAAUACAUGCAAGUCGAGCGAACAGACGAGGAGCUUGCUCCUCUGACGUUAGUGGCGGACGGGUGAGUAACACGUGGAUAACCUACCUAUAAGACUGGGAUAACUUCGGGAAACCGGAGCUAAUACCGGAUAAUAUAUUGAACCGCAUGGUUCAAUAGUGAAAGACGGUUUUGCUGUCACUUAUAGAUGGAUCCGCGCCGCAUUAGCUAGUUGGUAAGGUAACGGCUUACCAAGGCAACGAUGCGUAGCCGACCUGAGAGGGUGAUCGGCCACACUGGAACUGAGACACGGUCCAGACUCCUACGGGAGGCAGCAGUAGGGAAUCUUCCGCAAUGGGCGAAAGCCUGACGGAGCAACGCCGCGUGAGUGAUGAAGGUCUUCGGAUCGUAAAACUCUGUUAUUAGGGAAGAACAAAUGUGUAAGUAACUAUGCACGUCUUGACGGUACCUAAUCAGAAAGCCACGGCUAACUACGUG
Molecule: ribosomal RNA, 497 nt
Filed under: uncultured bacterium
Lineage: Bacteria
Description: partial 16S ribosomal RNA
Rfam family: Bacterial small subunit ribosomal RNA
Source: RNAcentral